GCACGCAUCUCUUACCAUUCGUUAAGUCGGCAGCUGCCAAUAAGCUUGUCUUUCUUUUUUGUUACAGAAAAAAAAAGGACUUAUUCCUUCCGGCUAGCUCGAAGGGAAGGCAAGAGCUCUUAGACCAUUUAUGGAACAGAAAGGCCGGCAGGGCAGAUGGCUACUAAAGGCCUAUUUGAGCAUUUUCAUUGACCUAUACUCUGUGUUGGUUUCAGUUCAGUCUACGGUCUCCCCACCAAAAGUCGGAUAUCACUUCUUGGAUAUCACUUCUUACUCCCGAGAAUGGGAAUCAGGAACUUUAUAUGAGUGAAACUGAGAAUCCCCUAAAGGAGGUGUGGAUGUCUUUGGGGAGUGCCGAAGCCAUUCGGAACGGAAGAAGGAGAAAGAAAGGAAGAGGGCAAAGAAUCCAGAGCGAAGGACAAGCGUUAAUAUAAAAAAGAUUUCUGCAAAAGAAAUAGCUUACGUAAGGGCUAAAAUAGUUUCGAGAAAGCUUCCUCUGACGGUGGGGGCCCCCCUUUAUUAUGGAUCGGUCGAGACUUCGUUCCUCUUGCAGUCCCUUUUUGAGUGGUAGUUGUGCUACAGUAAUAUGUUUUCUUUCUCUCCACGUGAAUUGCAGUAGAAGAAGUUGGAGUGCUAUUUUUUACGUUUUUUUGUCUAGUCUUUCUCUCUUCCAGUUCAUGUAUAGGAUUACCAGCCUAUAAAAUAUAUAAAUAUAUGAGUGAGUUUACCUCAUAGCAUAUUAGUAUAAGCUAUACAUAUUGGCAUAUUUCCUUAACUAAGUCUUCUCUGUAAUAGCAUAUUCCCUAGGAAUGAAAGCGUAUUCCACAAUAGAAUCAGUCGAAUCACUUUUGAGAGGCCUUUGCUAGAGGGAGUAGUUCUCUUUCUAUCUUGGAAUAUCGGAGGGAAGGCACUCGAUUGAGAUUGAUUCUUCUUCUUCUGCAGAGUGGAAGUGGACUGAGUCUCCGUCUCGAAUGCUCGAAUGUCCAGCUUCCCACCUUUUUGUAGAGUUGCCUUGGGACUCUACUUUAAUAAUAGGCAACUAGCCUCCACCAAUACCAGUCCGUCUACCUGCUUUCU
Molecule: long non-coding RNA, 1077 nt
Filed under: Linum usitatissimum (flax)
Lineage: Eukaryota; Viridiplantae; Streptophyta; Magnoliopsida; Malpighiales; Linaceae
Description: long non-coding RNA (LUSI_LNC008078)
Source: RNAcentral